GCUCCAGACUCCUACGGGAGGCAGCAGUGAGGAAUAUUGGUCAAUGGCCGGAAGGCUGAACCAGCCAAGCCGCGUGAGGGAGGAAGGCGCAGAGCGUCGCAGACCUCUUUUGCCGGGGGACAAAAGGCCGGACUCGUCCGGUCCUGAGGGUACCCGGAGAAAAAGCAUCGGGUAACUCCGUGCCAGCAGCCGCGGUAAUACGGAGGAUGCGAGCGUUAUCCGGAUUCAUUGGGUUUAAAGGGUGCGCAGGGGGGGCGUUUGGGGGGGGGGGGAAGGCGGGGGGCCAACCCCCGCCGAGCCGUCGGAACUGGGGGCCUUGAGUGCGGCGGAGGCAUGCGGAAUGCGCGGUGUAGCGGUGAAAUGCAUAGAUAUCGCGCAGAACCCCGAUUGCGAAGGCAGCGUGUCGUGCCGCCACUGACGCUGAGGCACGAAAGCGCGGGGAUCGAACAGGAUUAGAUACCCUUGUAC
This 468-nucleotide ribosomal RNA is filed under the name uncultured bacterium. RNAcentral's name for it is "partial 16S ribosomal RNA". It matches the Rfam family "Bacterial small subunit ribosomal RNA", at positions 328 to 793 of the family's 1533-position model. The record is from RNAcentral.